UCUGAGCAGGGUAAGCCGGCCCCUAAGUCGAGGCAGAAAUGCGUAGACGAUGGGAACUAGGUUAAUAUUCCUAGGCCAGGAGGAUGUGACGGAUCAUGAAGGUUGUUCACCCUUAUUGGAUUGGGUGGGCCGCUAAUUGGUUCCUGGAAAUAGCCCUCCAUCAGACCGUACCCUAAACCGACACAGGUGGACUGGUAGAGAAUACCAAGGCGCUUGAGAGAACUAUGUUGAAGGAACUCGGCAAAAUACCUCCGUAAGUUCGCGAGAAGGAGGCCCGGUUCCUAGGCAACUAGGGGCUGGGGGCACAAACCAGGGGGUGGCGACUGUUUACUAAAAACACAGGGCUCUGCGAAGUCGCAAGACGACGUAUAGGGUCUGACGCCUGCCCGGUGCCUGAAGGUUAAAAGGAGGGGUGAGAGCUCCGAAUUGAAGCCCAGGUAAACGGCGGCCGUAACUAUAACGGUCCUAAGGUAGCGAAAUUCCUUGUCGGGUAAGUUCCGACCUGCACGAAUGGCGUAACGACUUCCCCGCUGUCUCCAACAUAGACUCAGCGAAAUUGAAUUGCCUGUCAAGAUGCAGGCUUCCCGCGGUUAGACGGAAAGACCCCGUGCACCUUCACUACAGCUUCGCACUGGCAUCAGGCACAACAUGUGCAGGAUAGGUGGUGGGCUUUGAAGCAGGAACGCUAGUUUCUGUGGAGCCUCCCUUGAGAUACCACCCUUGUUCUGCUUGAUGUCUAACCGCGGUCCGUUAUCCGGAUCCGGGACCCUGCGUGGCGGGUAGUUUGACUGGGGCGGUCGCCUCCUAAAGAGUAACGGAGGCGCGCGAAGGUUGGCUCAGAGCGGUCGGAAAUCGCUCGUUGAGUGCAAUGGCAGAAGCCAGCCUGACUGCGAGACUGACAAGUCGAGCAGAGACGAAAGUCGGCCAUAGUGAUCCGGUGGUCCCGAGUGGGAGGGCCAUCGCUCAACGGAUAAAAGGUACGCCGGGGAUAACAGGCUGAUACUGCCCAAGAGUCCAUAUCGACGGCAGUGUUUGGCACCUCGAUGUCGGCUCAUCUCAUCCUGGGGCUGGAGCAGGUCCCAAGGGUAUGGCUGUUCGCCAUUUAAAGAGGUACGUGAGCUGGGUUUAGAACGUCGUGAGACAGUUCGGUCCCUAUCUGCCGUGGGUGUAGGA
Molecule: ribosomal RNA, 1173 nt
Filed under: marine metagenome
Description: bacterial LSU rRNA
Rfam family: Bacterial large subunit ribosomal RNA
Source: RNAcentral